UCACCUACGGGGGGCUGCAGUGGGGAAUAUUGGGCAAUGGGCGCAAGCCUGACCCAGCAACGCCGCGUGAGGGAAGAAGGUCUUCGGAUUGUAAACCUCUGUCCUUGGGGACGAAAAAAAUGACGGUACCCAAGGAGGAAGCUCCGGCUAACUACGUGCCAGCAGCCGCGGUAAUACGUAGGGAGCGAGCGUUGUCCGGAAUUACUGGGCGUAAAGGGUGCGUAGGCGGUCAGGCAAGUCAGAUGUGAAAUCCCCGGGCUUAACUCGGGAGUUGCAUUUGAAACUGCUUGGCUUGAGUGCAGGAGAGGAAAGCGGAAUUCCUAGUGUAGCGGUGAAAUGCGUAGAUAUUAGGAGGAACACCAGUGGCGAAGGCGGCUUUCUGGACUGUAACUGACGCUGAGGCACGAAAGCGUGGGGAGCAAACAGGAUUAGAUACCCCAGUAGUCCU
This 448-nucleotide ribosomal RNA is filed under the name uncultured Christensenellaceae bacterium. RNAcentral describes it as "bacterial SSU rRNA". It matches the Rfam family "Bacterial small subunit ribosomal RNA", at positions 335 to 797 of the family's 1533-position model. Lineage: Bacteria; Bacillati; Bacillota; Clostridia; Christensenellales; Christensenellaceae. The record is from RNAcentral.